Non-coding RNA from Sus scrofa (pig), 2186 nucleotides. The record is from RefSeq and is a predicted model, not a curated record. NCBI's taxonomy places the organism in Eukaryota, Metazoa, Chordata, Mammalia, Artiodactyla, Suidae.
CAGCGCCGGCCAAUCGCGGAGCCGGCUGCAGCGUCGGUCAGGGAGGCCGGCGGCGGACGGCCGGGGUCGCGCAGGUCUUCGGAGAUGGCCUCGGAGCAGCAGCCCGUAGUGGUGACCUGCACCGCGCCGGUCAACAUCGCGGUCAUCAAGUACUGGGGAAAGCGCGAUGAGGAGCUGAUCCUGCCCAUCAACUCUUCCCUGAGCGUCACGCUGCACCAGCAUCAGUUGAAAACCACCACGACGGCCGCCAUCAGCAAAGACUUCACCAAGGACCGGAUUUGGCUGAACGGCCGAGAGGAGGACGUGGGGCAGCCGCGCAUCCAGGCCUGCCUGAGGGAGAUCCGCCGCCUGGCCCGCAAGCGGAAGAGCGACGGUGACGAGGACGCGCUGCCGCUCUGCCUCAGCUACAAGGUCCACGUGGCCUCGGUGAACAACUUCCCCACGGCCGCGGGCCUGGCCUCCUCGGCAGCGGGCUUCGCCUGCCUCGCCUGCGCCCUGGCCCGCGUCUACGGGGUCGAGGGCGACCUCUCGGAGGUGGCCCGCCGGGGCUCGGGCAGCGCCUGCCGCAGCCUGUAUGGUGGCUUCGUGGAGUGGCAGAUGGGGCAGCGGGCUGACGGGAAGGACAGCAUCGCCCAGCAGGUGGCCCCAGAGUCGCACUGGCCAGAGCUCCGCGUCCUCAUCCUCGUGGUGAGCGCCGAGAAGAAGCUGAUGGGCAGCACGGCGGGCAUGCAGACCAGCGUGGAGACGAGCGCCCUGCUCAGGUUCCGGGCCAAGGCGCUGGUGCCGGCGCGCAUGGCCGAGAUGGCCCGCUGCAUCCGGGAGCGCGACUUCCAGGCCUUUGGCCAGCUGACCAUGAAGGACAGCAACCAGUUCCACGCCACCUGCUUGGACACCUUCCCGCCCAUCUCCUACCUCAGCGACACGUCGCAGCGGGUCAUCCGCCUGGUGCACCGCUUCAACGCGCACCACGGCUGCACCAAGGUGGCCUACUCGUUUGACGCGGGGCCCAACGCCGUGAUCUUCGCCCUGGACGACACCGUGCCCGAGUUUGUGGCCGCCGUGCAGCACAGCUUCCCUCCGGAGCCCAACGGAGACAAGUGGGUUGUGGCCCCAUCCGGGAGCCUUGGUGGGAGGUGGGGAGGCCGUGGCGGGUGUCCGCGUGGGGACCACAGGCGCUGGGACCUCGGCCCGGGGCAUGUGCGCGUGCAGCCAGCGGCUCCUGGGAGGACAGCGGCUGUGCUCGGGGGCCCCCUUCUCAGUGGGGAGACCUGUGCCCACCAGGGGUGCCUUUCAUCUGCCACCGUGGGGGGCAGUGCCACCUCUCUUUGGAGGCCCUGGGUCCUUCCACAGCAAGCGGGACAGACCUUGUGACAAGGACGAGGGGGCUGUGGGCUCACUGCGUGGCCCCCACGGGCAGUGGGGGCUGUAGCUUUAGGCACCAGGCUGAGCUUGGCUGAGGCGUUUUCUUCCUGGGCGCUACGUGCAGUCCGUGUUCGGGGGUGUCUGUUCCGCACGCCUCCCUCCCUGGAUCCAGGACAGCCCUGCCCUCCUCCCGCAGGUUUCUGCAGGGGCUGCCCGUGGAGCCUGCCCUGCUCUCAGACGAGCUCAAAGCCGCACUGGGCACAGACCCCACCCCUGGCGGCAUCAGAUACAUCAUAGCCACUCAGGUGGGCCCUGGGCCUCAAGUCCUGGAUGACCCUGGCGCUCACCUGCUGGGCCCCGAUGGCCUGCCGAAGCUGGCCUCCUGAUGGCCUCCUCGACGGAGAUGGACUGCCGCCAGGACAAGGGGCUGCUUGGCUGGGAGGGGGACCUGGCGUGCCGGCCACCGGGCUUCCUGGGAUUGGUGGAUGGUGCCUGGCUCUGGGCCGGGCACCAAGCUGUGGUGGAGUGGGGGCCGUGGAGGGACGUCUACAGGUGCCUAGUCAGGAGCGGGCCCCAGCACCUCGCCUCACUGCACCUGCACACGGCGCUCUGCCGACACGGGAGCCUGGAUCAGGAGACGAGACCUGGGCUCGGAGCUGCGAGUGCGUCUCCCAGUGAAAGGCCCUCUGGGCCACUCCCACUGCCCCAGGGCAGCAGCAUGACCUGGGGUGGACUGGUGUCGCCCUCAGAGCUGAAGGAUAGGUCUUGGGACGCUUCCUGGACGUGCCCUGCCGGACCCUGAGCUCAGGCCCCGCGCGUGCAGC